UGGUCUUGACAUACACGGAACUUUCCAGAGAUGGAUUGGUGCCUUCGGGAACCGUGAUACAGGUGCUGCAUGGCUGUCGUCAGCUCGUGUCGUGAGAUGUUGGGUUAAGUCCCGCAACGAGCGCAACCCUUGUCUCUAGUUACCAGCGAGUAAUGUCGGGGACUCUAGAGAGACUGCCGGUGACAAACUGGAGGAAGGUGGGGAUGACGUCAAGUCCUCAUGGCCCUUACAUCCCGGGCUACACACGUGCUACAAUGGCCGGUACAACGAGUCGCAAUACCGCGAGGUGGAGCUAAUCUCUUAAAACCGGUCUCAGUUCGGAUUGCAGUCUGCAACUCGACUGCAUGAAGCCGGAAUCGCUAGUAAUCGUAAAUCAGCUAUGUUACGGUGAAUACGUUCCCGGGUCU
Molecule: ribosomal RNA, 407 nt
Filed under: uncultured bacterium
Lineage: Bacteria
Description: bacterial SSU rRNA
Rfam family: Bacterial small subunit ribosomal RNA
Source: RNAcentral